RNAcentral lists this ribosomal RNA (501 nucleotides) under uncultured bacterium. RNAcentral describes it as "partial 16S ribosomal RNA". It matches the Rfam family "Bacterial small subunit ribosomal RNA", at positions 30 to 523 of the family's 1533-position model. The record is from RNAcentral.
AUUGAACGCUGGCGGCAGGCUUAACACAUGCAAGUCGAGCGGGGUGAUGGUGCUUGCACUAUCACUUAGCGGCGGACGGGUGAGUAAUGCUUAGGAAUCUGCCUAUUAGUGGGGGACAACAUCUCGAAAGGGAUGCUAAUACCGCAUAUGCCCUACGGGGGAAAGCAGGGGAUCUUCGGACCUUGCGCUAAUAGAUGAGCCUAAGUCGGAUUAGCUAGUUGGUGGGGUAAAGGCCUACCAAGGCGACGAUCUGUAGCGGGUCUGAGAGGAUGAUCCGCCACACUGGGACUGGGACACGGCCCAGACUCCUACGGGAGGCAGCAGUGGGGAAUAUUGGACAAUGGGCGGAAGCCUGAUCCAGCCAUGCCGCGUGUGUGAAGAAGGCCUUUUGGUUGUAAAGCACUUUAAGCGAGGAGGAGGCUACUUAGAUUAAUACUCUGGGAUAGUGGACGUUACUCGCAGAAUAAGCACCGGCUAACUCUGUGCCAGCCGCCGCCGUAA